UGGGAGCAUGGCUUGCCCGCGAUGAACGAUAACGCGGUUCAGCUGCUGUUAAACCUCGGCGCGCCCAUCGCGGGCAAGCCAUGCUCCCA
RNAcentral lists this unclassified non-coding RNA (89 nucleotides) under Pseudomonas brassicacearum. The record is from RNAcentral. Lineage: Bacteria; Pseudomonadati; Pseudomonadota; Gammaproteobacteria; Pseudomonadales; Pseudomonadaceae.